This is a long non-coding RNA of Monomorium pharaonis (pharaoh ant), 237 nucleotides long. RefSeq lists it as uncharacterized. Lineage: Eukaryota; Metazoa; Arthropoda; Insecta; Hymenoptera; Formicidae. The transcript is spliced from 3 exons. The record is from RefSeq and is a predicted model, not a curated record.
AACAUAAUUUUGAUAGCAAAACUCAAGAACGAUUGGAUCGCAUAGAAACGGAAUUGAGGAAAUUAAAUAAUACUGUGGAACGGAUUUUAAAAUGUGUACAAAUAAAGGAAAACCGACGACGACCAUUACAAAAACCGGCAUGUAUACCGAUUUCGACAGAGAUGGAGAUGUAAACUUUUGAAACAGUUAAUGAGGAUAUAUACGACCAAGUUGUGGAAUAUCUUGAAUAUGUGGGAG